This 339-nucleotide ribosomal RNA is filed under the name uncultured Limnobacter sp. Its description in RNAcentral is "bacterial SSU rRNA". It matches the Rfam family "Bacterial small subunit ribosomal RNA", at positions 1035 to 1382 of the family's 1533-position model. Lineage: Bacteria; Pseudomonadati; Pseudomonadota; Betaproteobacteria; Burkholderiales; Burkholderiaceae. The record is from RNAcentral.
CAGGUGCUGCAUGGCUGUCGUCAGCUCGUGUCGUGAGAUGUGGUUAAGUCCGCAACGAGCGCAACCCUUGUCAUUAGUUGCUACGAAAGGGCGACUCUAAUGAGACUGCCGGUGACAAACCGGAGGAAGGUGGGGAUGACGUCAAGUCCUCAUGGCCCUUAUGGGUAGGGCUACACACGUGCUACAAUGGUCGGUACAAAGGGUUGCCAAGCCGCGAGGUGGAGCUAAUCCCAUAAAACCGAUCGUAGUCCGGAUCGCAGUCUGCAACUCGACUGCGUGAAGUCGGAAUCGCUAGUAAUCGUGAAUCAGAAUGUCACGGUGAAUACGUUCCCGGGCCUU